RNAcentral lists this ribosomal RNA (225 nucleotides) under uncultured Ruminococcus sp. Its description in RNAcentral is "partial 16S ribosomal RNA". It matches the Rfam family "Bacterial small subunit ribosomal RNA", at positions 568 to 792 of the family's 1533-position model. Lineage: Bacteria; Bacillati; Bacillota; Clostridia; Eubacteriales; Oscillospiraceae. The record is from RNAcentral.
AGUGUAGGCGGGACUGCAAGUCAGAUGUGAAAUUUAGGGGCUUAACCCCUAAACUGCAUUUGAAACUGUGGAUCUUGAGUGAAGUAGAGGUAAGCGGAAUUCCUAGUGUAGCGGUGAAAUGCGUAGAUAUUAGGAGGAACAUCAGUGGCGAAGGCGGCUUACUGGGCUUUUACUGACGCUGAGGCUCGAAAGCGUGGGGAGCAAACAGGAUUAGAUACCCCCGUA